Molecule: ribosomal RNA, 884 nt
Filed under: uncultured eukaryote
Lineage: Eukaryota
Description: SSU rRNA
Rfam family: Eukaryotic small subunit ribosomal RNA
Source: RNAcentral
GUGCCAGCAGCCGCGGUAAUUCCAGCUCCAAUAGCGUAUAUUAAAGUUGUUGCGGUUAAAAAGCUCGUAGUUGGAUCUCAACAGCCUUGAAGCGGUUAACUUUGUAGUUUUACUGCUUUAUAGGCUGUGCUUUUGCUGGAGGUUUAGGGGUGCUCUUGAUCGAGUGUCUCUGGAUGCCAGCAGGUUUACUUUGAAAAAAUUAGAGUGCUCAAAGCAGGCUAAAAUGCCUGAAUAUUCGUGCAUGGAAUAAUAGAAUAGGAUGUCGAUCCUAUUUUGUUGGUUUUCGGGACUCGACAUAAUGAUAAAUAGGGACAGUCGGGGGCAUUUGUAUUCAAACGACAGAGGUGAAAUUCUUGGACCGUUUGAAGACAAACUACUGCGAAAGCAUUUGCCAAGAAUGUUUUCAUUAAUCAAGAACGAAAGUUAGAGGUUCGAAGGCGAUUAGAUACCGCCCUAGUUCUAACCAUAAACGAUGCCAGCUAGCGAUCUGCCUGCGUUUUUACUGUAGACUGGGCAGGAAGCUUCCGGGAAACCAAAGCAUUUGGGUUCCAGGGGAAGUAUGGUUGCAAAGCUGAAACUUAAAGGAAUUGACGGAAGGGCACCACCAGGAGUGGAGCCUGUGGCUUAAUUUGACUCAACACGGGAAAUCUCACCAGGCCCGGACACUGGAAGGAUUGACAGAUUGAUAGCUCUUUCUUGAUUCGGUGGGUGGUGGUGCAUGGCCGUUCUUAGUUGGUGGAGUGAUUUGUCUGGUUAAUUCCGAUAACGAACGAGACUCUGUCCUGCUAAAUAGUUUCUACUUCUCUUUUGAGUAGAAUUUCUUCUUAGAGGGACUGGUGACUCUUAGUCACACAAGAUUGAGCAAUACCAGGUCUGUGAUGCCC